AGAACGAACGCUGGCGGCAGGCCUAACACAUGCAAGUCGAACGCUCCGCAAGGAGAGUGGCAGACGGGUGAGUAACGCGUGGGAAUUUCCCCCAAGGUUCGGAAUAACUGAGGGAAACUUCAGCUAAUACCGAAUGGUACCGAGAGGUUAAAGAUUUAUCGCCUUGGGAUGAGCCCGCGUUGGAUUAGCUAGUUGGUGGGGUAACGGCCCACCAAGGCUUUGAUCCAUAGCUGGUCUGAGAGGACGACCAGCCACACUGGGACUGAGACACGGCCCAGACUCCUACGGGAGGCAGCAGUGGGGAAUCUUGGACAAUGGGCGCAAGCCUGAUCCAGCCAUGCCGCGUGGGCGAUGAAGGUCUUCGGAUUGUAAAGCCCUUUUGGCGGGGACGAUAAUGACGGUACCCGCAGAAUAAGCUCCGGCUAACUUCGUGCCAGCAGCCGC
RNAcentral lists this ribosomal RNA (444 nucleotides) under uncultured bacterium. Its description in RNAcentral is "SSU rRNA". It matches the Rfam family "Bacterial small subunit ribosomal RNA", at positions 26 to 518 of the family's 1533-position model. The record is from RNAcentral.